AGUGAACGCUGGCGGGAGGCCUAACACAUGAAAGUCGAACGGCAGCACAGUAAGAGCUUGCUCUUACGGGUGGCGAGUGGCGGACGGGUGAGGAAUACAUCGGAAUCUACUUUUUCGUGGGGGAUAACGUAGGGAAACUUACGCUAAUACCGCAUACGACCUACGGGUGAAAGCAGGGGAUCUUCGGACCUUGCGCGAUUGAAUGAGCCGAUGUCGGAUUAGCUAGUUGGCGGGGUAAAGGCCCAACAAGGCGACGAUCCGUAGCUGGUCUGAGAGGAUGAUCAGCCACACUGGAACUGCGACACGGUCCAGGCUCCUACGGGAGGCAGCAGUGGGGAAUAUUGGACAAUGGGCGCAAGCCUGAUCCAGCCAUACCGCGUGGGUGAAGAAGGCCUUCGGGUUGUAAAGCCCUUUUGUUGGGAAAGAAGAGCAGCAGGUUAAUACCCCGCUGUUCUGACGGUACCCAAAGCAUAAGCACCGGCUACCUUCGUG
Molecule: ribosomal RNA, 492 nt
Filed under: uncultured bacterium
Lineage: Bacteria
Description: partial 16S ribosomal RNA
Rfam family: Bacterial small subunit ribosomal RNA
Source: RNAcentral